GGAAUUUUCCGCAAUGGGCGAAAGCCUGACGGAGCAAUACCGCGUGAGGGAUGAAGGAUUUUGGUCUGUAAACCUCUUUUUUCAAGAAAGAAGCUCUGACGGUACUUGAAGAAUAAGCAUCGGCUAACUCCGUGCCAGCCGCCGCGGUAAUACGGGGGAUGCAAGCGUUAUCCGGAAUCAUUGGGCGUAAAGCGCCUGUAGGUUGUUUAGUAAGUUCGUUGUUAAAGACUAGGGCUUAACCCUAGGAAAGCGAUGAAAACUACUGGACUUGAGUAUGGUAGGGGUAGAGGGAAUUUCUAGUGUAGUGGUGAAAUGCGUAGAUAUUAGAAAGAACACCGGUGGCGAAAGCGCUCUACUGGACCAUUACUGACACUGAGAGGCGAAAGCUAGGGGAGCAAAA
This 400-nucleotide ribosomal RNA is filed under the name uncultured bacterium. RNAcentral describes it as "bacterial SSU rRNA". It matches the Rfam family "Bacterial small subunit ribosomal RNA", at positions 358 to 773 of the family's 1533-position model. The record is from RNAcentral.